AGCUUAGAUUUUUUAAUUUGCAAUUAAAAUAAGAUUUAUAUCCUAGGUUA
This 50-nucleotide transfer RNA is filed under the name Parasacculina yatsui. RNAcentral's name for it is "tRNA-Ala". The record is from RNAcentral. Lineage: Eukaryota; Metazoa; Arthropoda; Thecostraca; Polyascidae.